This 698-nucleotide long non-coding RNA is filed under the name Rattus norvegicus (Norway rat). RNAcentral describes it as "long non-coding RNA NONRATT018985". Lineage: Eukaryota; Metazoa; Chordata; Mammalia; Rodentia; Muridae. The record is from RNAcentral.
AGCCUUCCCUUUGGAGAGCAAGCACAGUCAACUGCCAGUAAGCAAGGUCCCAGGCUAGACACACAACCUCAGAUUCAAAGGGCAGUUUAUACUAGAAUGGGUUUAGUAGGCAUCCCUCGUCUCUUGCUUGGCUUCUUUAACCAAUGUUCUCCCAGAUUCUGUCUCCAAAGGGUAGCUCUGUUUGUUGGACCUGCCCCUAGGGAACUCAUGCUAGUGUCUUGGCAGCUGUGUACCUGUCCUACUUCUGUCCUGACUGAACAGCUGAGCUGGCCCCUCCACAGAGCAGUACCUGUGCAGUGCUUUAUGUAGGGCAGGUGUGUUAGAGGGAACUUAUUCAUCCACAGAGCAGUAUUUGUUCCAGUGCUUUACGCAUGCAGGUAUGGCAGAGGGAAAACUUACCCUUUGGGCUUAGUACUUAUGCCCCUAAGCAGCCCCUGACCUAAGACAGUCAGGUGGGUCUGUGAUGUGUGCCUGAUGUCAGGGUCCCCUUUCCUGUCUGAGGAUUUUGAGGCCUAAUCUUAGGAGCAUGUUUCUUCAGGAAGGAGAGAGCUGGAAUCUAAACUGACCUUGUCUGAAGGUGCAGAUAGGCAGCUGGAUCCUGGAGAGCACCUGAAUCAGGGGUGGCCUCACCUGUCUACCCAUCUAACCUCCAAAGGAGACACCAGCAAUUGUCCAAAAGUGGGAUGUGUGGGAGAAAA